Molecule: microRNA, 22 nt
Filed under: Drosophila mojavensis
Lineage: Eukaryota; Metazoa; Arthropoda; Insecta; Diptera; Drosophilidae
Description: Dmo-Novel-4_5p* (star (passenger))
Source: RNAcentral
CAUAUGCGAUGUUUGCUCAAAA